CAGUUACGGCGAGUGAAGCGGCAACAGCUUCAAUUUGAAAUCUGGCCUCCUUUGGGGUCCGAGUUGUAAUUUUGUAGAGGAUGUUUCGGGUACCGCCCCGGUUUAAUUUUCUUGGAACAGAAUGUCAAAGAGGGUGAGAAUCCCGUCUUGGACCGGCGGUAGGGCCCAUGUGAAACUCCUUCGACGAGUCGAGUUGUUUGGGAAUGCAGCUCAAAAUGGGUGGUAAAUUUCAUCUAAAGCUAAAUAUUGGCCAGAGACCGAUAGCGCACAAGUAGAGUGAUCGAAAGAUGAAAAGCACUUUGAAAAGAGAGUUAAACAGUAUGUGAAAUUGUUGAAAGGGAAGCGCUUACAACCAGACUUGCGCGCGGCGGUUCCCCCUUCCUUUUGGUUGGGCUACUCCGUCGUGUCCAGGCCAACAUCGGUUCUGGGGGUCGGUUAAAGACCCUGGGAAUGUAUCUACCCUUCGGGCGUAGACUUAUAGCUCAGGGUGUCAUGCGACCUCCCGGGACCGAGGAACGCGCUUCGGCUCGGAUGUUGGCGUAAUGGUUGUCAGCGACCCGUCUUGAAACACGGACCAAGGAGUCUAACAUCUAUGCGAGUGUUUGGGUGUCAAACCCGGAACGCGAAAUGAAAGUGAACGGAGGUAGGAAGCCAUGAAGCUGCACUAUCGACCGAUCCUGAUG
This 683-nucleotide ribosomal RNA is filed under the name Exophiala equina. Its description in RNAcentral is "partial large subunit ribosomal RNA". It matches the Rfam family "Eukaryotic large subunit ribosomal RNA", at positions 81 to 776 of the family's 3401-position model. Lineage: Eukaryota; Fungi; Ascomycota; Eurotiomycetes; Chaetothyriales; Herpotrichiellaceae. The record is from RNAcentral.